AGGGCUUAUUCCCGAUUGUCCCACUUUUUUUUAAAUUAAGAGCUCAUAUUGUCCCACAUGAAAAGUUCUGACUGGUCCACAUUAUUUUAUGAGGCGAAAUGUUCUUAUCCCUUGUUAGAUUGUCUCUAUGGUUUUGUUUCAGAUAUAUAAGCCAAAAUCUACAUUUUAUGGAAUGCUCUUCUUUUAGACAUUGCGGCCAUCUUAAUUAUUGGGCGGGGUCAUCGGAUUUUUUUUGAAACUAAAUACCCUAAGGAUGAUUUUGGCCAUGUUUGCUUUAAUUUUGCCAGUAGUUUCAGAAGAGAAGAUUUUUGUAAAAAUUAAUGACGACGACGAAUAAUGAGAAAAUGAGAAAAGCUCACUUAGUCCUAUGGUCCAGGUGAGCUAAAAAGCAAAACGGACAAAAAGCAACGGACAAAAAGCAAAAGUGUCGGACAAAAAGCAAAAUUAUCGGACAAAAAGCAAAACGGACAAAAAGCAACGGACAAAAAGCAAAAGUAUCGGACAAAAAGCAAAAUUAUCGGACAAAAAGCAAAACGGACAAAAAAGCAACGGACAAAAAGCAAAAGUAUCGGACAAAAAGCAAAAUGCUACGUUUUCAGUGACAAACAUUACAAAGUCGUGUUCAAAAUAAUCAGUUGGAUAAGGAACAGUAUAUUGUGUAAAAUAAUAAUAAACAAAAAUUAAAAAACAAACAAAUUAUUAAAUAAAUGCAUUUUUGUAAAGUUUCAAACAUAAUUUAGAAAGUUACUUUGAACUUUUCCAAACCGUAUUCAUUAUGUAUAGUGGUUGAUUUUUUGUUUAUCGUUUCGUAAAUAUCAAAAUCGUUUUUUUUCUCUUUUGAGGCAUAUGGUAGAAAGAUUUCAUAUCGAAUGUACUAAAUUUGGGGUCCGACGUCCGUGGAACUUUUCACUAUUUGAACUUCUAUUAGGGAACCACAUAAAAGGAUCAAUAUAUGAAUCUGUUAUUUUUCUCCAUUGUUGAAACGUAUGAUAAAAAAAAUCAUGUAUUAUCAGCCCGCGGUCAAUAUCAGCCCUCGAGCCAUGUGGCUCUUGGUCUGAUAUUGAACCUAGGGCUGAUAAUGCUUGCGAUAUGAAAAAUGCCAUGUGAUAAUCUGAUAUUAUUCUGUUUCAAAUUGAUUAAAAAGUGUGUUUCAUUUAGAUUUCUGAAGACAAUAUGGUCGAUAUUUGUUAAAUGAGCAGACAACUAAUAAAGACUUAUUUUUUAUAUACCUUGUAUCCAUGAAAAUAACAUCUGCUUUAAGAGACAGAUGAGCAAAAU
This 1278-nucleotide long non-coding RNA is filed under the name Mytilus galloprovincialis (Mediterranean mussel). Lineage: Eukaryota; Metazoa; Mollusca; Bivalvia; Mytilida; Mytilidae. The record is from RNAcentral.